This 844-nucleotide ribosomal RNA is filed under the name uncultured bacterium. RNAcentral describes it as "bacterial SSU rRNA". It matches the Rfam family "Bacterial small subunit ribosomal RNA", at positions 14 to 848 of the family's 1533-position model. The record is from RNAcentral.
UGAUCCUGGCUCAGGAUGAACGCUAGCUACAGGCUUAACACAUGCAAGUCGAGGGGAAACGAUAGAGAAAGCUUGCUUUUUCUAGGCGUCGACCGGCGCACGGGUGAGUAACGCGUAUCCAACCUGCCCAUCACUUGGGGAUAACCUUGCGAAAGUAAGACUAAUACCCAAUGACGUCUCUAGAAGACAUCUGAAAGGGAUUAAAGAUUUAUCGGUGAUGGAUGGGGAUGCGUCUGAUUAGCUUGUUGGCGGGGUAACGGCCCACCAAGGCGACGAUCAGUAGGGGUUCUGAGAGGAAGGUCCCCCACAUUGGAACUGAGACACGGUCCAAACUCCUACGGGAGGCAGCAGUGAGGAAUAUUGGUCAAUGGACGAGAGUCUGAACCAGCCAAGUAGCGUGCAGGAUGACGGCCCUAUGGGUUGUAAACUGCUUUUAUAAGGGAAUAAAGUGGGAGUCGUGACUCCUUUUGCAUGUACCUUAUGAAUAAGGACCGGCUAAUUCCGUGCCAGCAGCCGCGGUAAUACGGAAGGUCCGGGCGUUAUCCGGAUUUAUUGGGUUUAAAGGGAGCGUAGGCCGGAGAUUAAGCGUGUUGUGAAAUGUAGACGCUCAACGUCUGCACUGCAGCGCGAACUGGUUUCCUUGAGUACGCACAAAGUGGGCGGAAUUCGUGGUGUAGCGGUGAAAUGCUUAGAUAUCACGAAGAACUCCGAUUGCGAAGGCAGCUCACUGGAGCGCAACUGACGCUGAAGCUCGAAAGUGCGGGUAUCGAACAGGAUUAGAUACCCUGGUAGUCCGCACGGUAAACGAUGGAUGCCCGCUGUUGGUCUGAAUAGGUCAGCGGCC